Molecule: long non-coding RNA, 2267 nt
Organism: Oryzias javanicus (javanese ricefish)
Lineage: Eukaryota; Metazoa; Chordata; Actinopteri; Beloniformes; Adrianichthyidae
Source: Ensembl
AUGACUGCCAGCAUCUGCGCAGCCGCGUCUGCAGACACGCCUCCUUCCUGCUGGAACAGGCCUUUCAGAGAGUCACACACACUGGCUGGCAUCUGUUUGGCAUUUCUGCAGAACAACAACAACAAAGAGCACCUACCAGGAUCUGAAGCCGGUGAGGAUGAGCCUGUGGAGACAAACCUUCUUUCAAGAUCAUCGUCCCGUUUCGUCAAUGCAAAAAGGAUUCUAGCUACCUUCAGGGAGGAGGCAAUGGAGAAGGAGCGAGGCUGGAUCUCCGGGAAGAGAUCCAGCAGGUAAUCCACUUUGAGUUCUGCCGUCGUAUGAGGGAAAUCUGUCAAGACCUGAAAUAGGAAAAAGAGAGAAAAAACAUUUCCAGCUUUUCACUUUAAACUGACUCCAUCAUGUUAGAUCCUCUUUCCUCAGCUCGUUUAUUUUGUAGUCAAAAGUGAAAUACAUACUGACCCACUAUUAACUUUAAGUUUCCAUUUGAAGCGAAACAUUUGGAUUCAAAUCCUUAUUUUUUGUAAUAUUUGAUGCAUAUUUUUUAUUAGGAUUCCAUUUUAAUAUUGACUGAGUAAAGGAAUGAAACUUGAAAUCUGAAUUCUGAUUGGAUGUUUUGAGUUAAUUGAUCAAUGAUAACUCUGUGUUGAAUCUAAUCUAAAAUUUAGAGUUAAAAGUGAAGGAAGAACUGAAGUGAGUUAAAAUAACUGUUGAUUGAAUGUAGCAGAAAUAUUAGCUGAACUCCAAAAUAGAAUAAAAAAUCUUAGUAAAUGCCAAAUUAGUCCUAAAAGCUGGCAGAAUGACAAUUUUUAAAACAUUAAAACUGUAAUGUUUUACCAUAUUUAUGAAUAAAACAGGAAUAUUAUUCCAGAAUAAAUCAACUUAAACCUUAAAUAACUUUCAAUAUUUUACUCUCCAUAAAUAUAUAUUUUGUCAAAAUUACACAAGUUAGAAAUAAGAGCAAGAUAACAUUGAGUCAUUAAUAAUAAAAUAAAAUGAUCUGGAGGGCCGGAUCCGGCCCCCGGGCCUUGACUUUGACACAAAAAAAAAUCUAGAUUUUGUUCUGAUAGAAGAAAAAAAAUGGAGGAGUUUGCUAAUGUUGGUUCAAAAGUUUGUAGGAGGUUUUCUCUGAACGGAGGUGAUCCAUGAUCACACUGAUGUUGACUUCAUAUUUUCUUGGUGGAUUCCUUUGUAAAAUGAUCUAAACCUGACCCACCUACACAAAAGAGGAGCAGUGAAUGGAAUAAAAGGAGUGAGUAUACAAGUGAUGAAAAUUUCCAGAUGAUGAGAUCAAGCCUUUCAGCUCAACAAGAACGUCCUGAGAUGACCUCGAGUGCGGUGCGCCGGGGUCGGUUGCAGUAGGAGUUCAGCUCUUCCUGGCCUGCUGCUGAGCUAAACUCAACUAGCUUGUCUCUCUCCAGCUCGUUGGUGGCAAACGUAGCCAGUAGCUCAAAGAAAGAGCGUCGAGGCACAGCGGCGAUGUCCAGGUAGCUCUCCACCAGGUGAUGCACGGAGCAGGGCUGAGGAAGCCUGGCUGGAACUGAGAGGACACAUCAUGUCAGCUUCAUUCCUCACAGUCACUCACUGUGUUAGCGUUUAACGUUGGGAUGCAGGACAGACGCAUCAUCAGUCGCCUCUUCUGGCUGUUUAAGAGUUUCAGGGUUUUUCAAGCAUCAUCCACACAUCUCAACUUCUCCCCUCCACAUUUGGCUCAGCCCCUGAACAACAUUAAUAAGCAUGAUUGUUUUUUUUCCUCAGACUGGCCAUGUGAUUGAUACCUAUAUAGAGCAUUGUAUUCUACCCUUCUGCAGUCUGUGCCACUACCUCAGAGGUCUGUAACCCGCAGCUCCAGAUUCACAUGUGUCUCUUUAAUCUCCAUGGAGGCUCCUAUCCAAACAUAAAAUAAUUCAUGGAGAUUGUUGAUCCAGACAUGUCGACCGUCUGAGUCAGCAGAUCUCUGAUAAUGUCUGCUUAACCAAAACUACCUCAAGAAAACAAAUAAACAAAGCCUGUAAACUAAGACUACCAAGAUCCAACCCCAAACUAAAAUAACAAAACCCAGCAGUGGAAGACUGAUGAGGACAAAGAGGGAAAAUAGAUAAAAAAGAUCAAAGAAAACAGCAUUUAUUGAAUUCAGAUUAGUUUCAUUUAUAAAUGUAUGUCUGAGGUUCACAUAGAUAAUAAACUGUGUAGGUUUUUACAUCUGUUGACCUGAAGACGUCUAGUUUGUUCAACUCUACCUCCAGAAUGAACAGAUUUUAGAUGCAAAG